RNAcentral lists this ribosomal RNA (360 nucleotides) under Phanerochaete sp. BAB-4022. RNAcentral describes it as "eukaryotic LSU rRNA". The stretch from base 1 to 98 matches the Rfam family "5.8S ribosomal RNA", at positions 57 to 154 of the family's 154-position model. Lineage: Eukaryota; Fungi; Basidiomycota; Agaricomycetes; Polyporales; Phanerochaetaceae. The record is from RNAcentral.
GAUACUUGGUGUGAAUUGCAGAAUUCAGUGAAUCAUCGAAUCUUUGAACGCACCUUGCGCUCCCUGGUAUUCCGGGGAGCAUGCCUGUUUGAGUGUCAUGGUAUUCUCAACCUUCAUAACUUUUGUUAUCGAAGGCUUGGACUUGGAGGUUGUGCUGGCUUCUAGUUAAGUCGGCUCCUCUUAAAUGUAUUAGCGUGAGUGUAACGGAUCGCUUCGGUGUGAUAAUUAUCUGCGCCGUGGUCGUGAAGUAACAUAAGCUUGCGCUUCUAACCGUCCUUCAGUUGGACAAUUACUUUGACAUCUGACCUCAAAUCAGGUAGGACUACCCGCUGAACUUAAGCAUAUCAAUAAGCGGAGGAA